GUGAUAGCUCAGUUAGUUAGAGCAUAGCGCUGAUCCUGCCACGGUUGCAGGUUUGAUCCCUGUAAGGGACA
This is a non-coding RNA of Podarcis lilfordi (Lilford's wall lizard), 71 nucleotides long. NCBI's taxonomy places the organism in Eukaryota, Metazoa, Chordata, Lepidosauria, Squamata, Lacertidae. The record is from the annotation of a GenBank genome assembly.